Molecule: ribosomal RNA, 435 nt
Filed under: uncultured bacterium
Lineage: Bacteria
Description: partial 16S ribosomal RNA
Rfam family: Bacterial small subunit ribosomal RNA
Source: RNAcentral
GAUGAACGCUGGCGGUAUGCUUAACACAUGCAAGUCGAACGGACUCUUCGGAGUUAGUGGCGGACGGGUGAGUAACGCGUGAGAAUCUGGCUUUGGGUUCGGGACAACCACUGGAAACGGUGGCUAAUACCGGAUGUGCCGAGAGGUAAAAGAGAAAUUGCCUGGAGAUGAGCUCGCGUCUGAUUAGCUAGUUGGUGAGGUAAAGGCUCACCAAGGCAGCGAUCAGUAGCUGGUCUGAGAGGAUGACCAGCCACACUGGGACUGAGACACGGCCCAGACUACGACGGGAGGCAGCAGUGGGGAAUUGUCCGCAAUGGGCGAAAGCCUGACGGAGCAAUACCGCGUGAGGGAAGAAGGCUCUUGGGUUGUAAACCUCUUUUCUUAGGGAAGAACAAAAUGACGGUACCUAAGGAAUCAGCAUCGGCUAACUCCGUG